GGAAAGAAACUAAUGAAUAUUCUGUCUGAAACCCAUUUUUAACUGAAGGUUGCAUUUUUCUCUGUGUGUGUAUUAAUCUGAUUAGCUCCUUGGGAAUGUUGGUGAUGACACUCUGUCUGUGGGAGAAGGACAGUAUACAGUAUAUAUAGAGAGGUGAUUCCUUUGUCUAGUUAGAUCUCUUCUGAGUUCUCCAUCUGUGCAGAUGUGAAAUAAAGCUGUGUUUUGUUCUUUCUCUUUAA
Long non-coding RNA from Xiphophorus hellerii (green swordtail), 239 nucleotides. RefSeq lists it as uncharacterized. NCBI's taxonomy places the organism in Eukaryota, Metazoa, Chordata, Actinopteri, Cyprinodontiformes, Poeciliidae. The transcript is spliced from 3 exons. The record is from RefSeq and is a predicted model, not a curated record.